GGUUCUGGGAUCAAUAUUCUGCUCAACUUCUCUUGUAAGGUAAAAUAAGUAAUCAACAGCAAAAUCCAACGAGUCUGCUACGUAUUGCAAUGUUUGCUGCAAAUGGGAAAUCAGAAAAAGAAGAAGAAGAAGAAGAAGAAGAAGCUGACGGGCAUUGACAAGGAAAAAGGAAGAAAAUCUACCUCAGUUUGCGAUGAUCAUUGAUUGGCACCAACAGACAUCGCAUAAAACUUCCACUAUCCAGUAGACAAAUCAGCAAAAUGAUCAUUGCUACAGCUUCACGAGAACCACCAUUCUCCCAUGUUUCUGUUCCCCGUUUCAGCAGUACGAAUUCCAUGCCUCAGCACAGCAUUGUUUGCCAUUAGCUAAGAUUAUAUCAACACAUUUUCUUUAGUUCAA
This is a long non-coding RNA of Populus nigra (black poplar), 399 nucleotides long. RefSeq lists it as uncharacterized. The transcript is spliced from 2 exons. Lineage: Eukaryota; Viridiplantae; Streptophyta; Magnoliopsida; Malpighiales; Salicaceae. The record is from RefSeq and is a predicted model, not a curated record.